UUCCACUGAGCUGACUGGUUGGUAAAUCAGCAGUUAACCCGCUGCCUGAUUGAAAUGCAAAUCCUGCCUGCCAUUCGCCUUAAGUUGGGUGGUGCAAAGUUUGCUUCCACAGUCGCCCUGGUCAUCCCGACGCUUCGGCUGCCUCCUCUCCACCCCCCACCCCUCCCCAGCAAUUGGGAAACCGCGCGCUCCCUAACAACAAGCUCUGCAACUUUCCAAGCCUCUCGGAGCCUGUGACAGAAAAGCACACAACUUGUUGUGCCGCGACAGGAGGAGAGACGCACGUCUUGCAGCCCCGGGUGCCAAGAAAACCCCUCUCCUCCUUCCUAGACACACCCAGGAGGUUAUAGUGGCUUCGUUUCUCCACGCCUUUCCAAAAUACAGAACACACACACGCAAAAUCUGGCAAACGAAAUAAAAGAAGGGCUUGCAGCUACCCGAAAGUCAUUAAGGCAUUAAGUUCUCUAGGAAGACAGAUCUGGAGAAAAAUUCAAGAAAAUGAAAAUAUCGCCCUAAACAAGGAUCAAAGGAAGACACCUUACACUGAAUCAGAUUAUUGGCCCAUCUAGCUCAGUAUUGCCUACAUUGACUGCCAGCUGCUGUUCAUGGCUCCAUGGAAAUGCUGGGGAUUGAAAUUGGGACCUUCUGAAUGCAAAGAAGACCUCCUAUCAUUGAGCUAUGGUCCUUCCUGGGUAGGCCACAAUCUCAAUACUGCUGACACAGUAACUAGCUCUGAGGAACAGGCAAGGAAGGCCCAAGGAAGUUUGCUGUUCAAUAAAGGAUGCUGGGUUGCUUGGCAACCAAUCGUUAGGCCCAAUGGUGCAACCAGCCAGCCAGGCAUUCCAAACUGGCUGCUUCCAUCGUCUUACGUCCUAACACAGGUGUUUCUCCUCGGCUGAUUUUACUGCCUUUUUGUAACCCCUGGGGUCAUGCAUCCAGAAAGUCCUGGGCAGGAAUUACAGCCGUAUAUAACUCCAAACUUUUGCCCCCUUUCCUAGAAUGACUAUUAAGGUAUUUUGUCCACAAAACGGAAUGGUCUUUUGUAUAUUGAAAAUGUGAUUCUCAUUCCCGGUUACACAUGAAUGCCCUUAUACCGCCAAGGUUUGUCAGCAAGAACAAAUAUAAAACAUAUAAGGAUGCUGAAAGUGUAUUUUCAAGUUCAGGUGGAGCUCACUUCAACGCUUGGAAGUUUGUUGUGAUGAGCAUCACAAAUGAAUACCAUAUUGGACUAAGUAAAAACAACAUGCCCAGUGUAGAUGAGAAGACAGGGCAGGUUAUUUGCCCACCAGUGAAAGGUCAGAAGUACUUCUGAAGAGCAUUCACGUAUUUUUCACAUUUUCUUUCUCUUUCUCCAAUGAGUUGAGGACAAUGAGCAUGGGGUUGUUUACAUUUUUAUCCUCACAGCAGCCCUGUGAAGUAAAUGUAUAUGCUGCAAACUGCAUUUUUCUGGAUGAUAUUAUAUGGUUUUAUUAUUAUAUCAUAUGCUGAUGAGUGGGAUAUUACACAUGAGCAACAUGUGUUUUUAAUUAUCUUUUGAAUGUUUCUAAACAUCUGUUUUUGACCUUUUAUUUAUGCUUCCAGUGUUGUUUGUAAAUUGCUUAGAGGGCUUAUGACAAUCAAUUGAUAUAUACAUUUUGUAUUAUUAUUAUUAUUAUUAUUAUUAUUAUUAUUAUUAUUAUUAAGAUGUGAUUGUUGCAGCCUGCAAAUGCAACAAUCAUUCUGCCAGUGGGAACCCCUUUCCUAAUAUAGCAAGUCCACUAAGUGGCUUGGGGUGACAAAAGUGUUACAGUGUUGACCUAUUGUAUAUUUUUUCUACUUUUACAAGACCUGCACCUAUUUUUCUGCUUGCACAAUUAGAAUAGCUUGAGCAACAAUACCAGCCUAUCCCGGUUCUUGUGCUGAUGCUACAUUGGAUCUCACCCAUCAUCAUUAUUAUUAAGCUGAGAGAGAGCACCAUGACGCAGGUGGCUAUGGAGCAGGUACUUGCCAUCAUUUUUUAUUUCUGAUAUGCAUUUGAUCUUUUCCCAAGAACCUCAGGAUGAUGUAUACAGAGAGUUUCUUCCCCUUUCUUAUCCUCAGAAAACUCUGUGAGGUAGGGACUAUGGCUAGCCAAAGGUCACACAUUGAGACAAAACUGCAGCUGAGAUGUCAAAUGAAAUUUUGGUUGUCGUAUCAAAACACGGCAAGGAUUCAAAAAACAAAACACCAAACCAAGUAUUUAAUGCCAAUUCAAAAAAUUUAACUUGAAGGGGCAUUUAAAAUAAAACCUAAAAAUUAAUUCGGGGUGAUAAAAAGUAGCUUGUAAGUCCAGUAAUUUAUAAGCAUGUUGUCCACUGAAAACAACCCAUAACAGCCUCUAAAUUCUAAAGCAUCUUUAGAAGAAACAGUGGUACAAAAUUCAAAGUUCUGUGCAAUGGAAGGGCCUUUUCAGUUGUGGCUCUUAAGAUGUGGAACUCCCUCCCUUCUGAGGUGUAUCUUGUCCAUCUCUUUAUAGUUUCAGCAAAUCAGGAGAGACCUGAUUCUACAAAUGGACUACUGGCUGCUCCUAUUAAUAAUAAUUGCUAUUUAGUGAUUGGUACAAGCUGUUGUUUUUAAGGACUGGGUUACUUUCUGUGCUUUUAUUUGAUUAUCCUGUAAACUGUGGUUUGUGGAAAGGGUGGUAUAUACACCAUCUUAAUAAGAAAUAAAGACCCUAUAAAACCAGA
This is a non-coding RNA of Podarcis muralis (Common wall lizard), 2705 nucleotides long. The record is from RefSeq and is a predicted model, not a curated record. NCBI's taxonomy places the organism in Eukaryota, Metazoa, Chordata, Lepidosauria, Squamata, Lacertidae.